Molecule: ribosomal RNA, 404 nt
Filed under: uncultured bacterium
Lineage: Bacteria
Description: bacterial SSU rRNA
Rfam family: Bacterial small subunit ribosomal RNA
Source: RNAcentral
GACGAACGCUGGCGGCGUGCUUAACACAUGCAAGUCGAGCGGUAAGGCCCUUUCGGGGGGUACACGAGCGGCGAACGGGUGAGUAACACGUGGGUGACCUGCCCUCAGCUCUGGGAUAAGCCUGGGAAACCGGGUCUAAUACCGGAUAUGACUCCAUGACGCAUGUUGUGGGGGUGGAAAGCCUUGUGCGGCUGAGGAUGGGCCCGCGGCCUAUCAGCUUGUUGGUGGGGUGAUGGCCUACCAAGGCGACGACGGGUAGCCGGCCUGAGAGGGCGACCGGCCACACUGGGACUGAGACACGGCCCAGACUCCUACGGGAGGCAGCAGGUGGGGAAUCUUGCACAAGUGGGGGCAACCCUGAUGCAGCGACGCCGCGUGGGCGAUGAAGGUCUUCGGAUCGUAAA